UGUGUUAUGAUAGCUCGGUGAUAGUUAGAUGAUGUGACAACGUGUUAGAUGAUAGCUAGAUGAUGUGACAAAGUGUUAGAUGAUAGCUAGAUGAUGUGACAAAGUGUUAGAUGAUAGCUAAAUGUUAGUUAGAUGAUGUGACAACGUGUUAGAUGAUAGCUAGAUGAUGUGACAACGUGUUAGAUGAUAGCUAGAUGAUGUGACAAAGUGUUAGAUGAUAGCUAAAUGUUAGUUAGAGGAUGUGAAAACGUGUUAGAUGAUAGCUAGAUGAUUUUGACAACGUGUUAGAUGAUAGUUAUAGGAUGUUUCAACGUGUUAAUGUUAGUUAGAGGAUGUGACACUGUGUUAUGAUAGCUCGGUGAUAGUUAGAUGAUGGGACAACGUGUUAGAUGAUAGUUAGAUGUGACAUUGUGUUAUGAUAGCUAGGUGAUAGUUAGAUGUGACAUUGUGUUAUGAUAGCUAGGUGAUAGUUAGAUGAUGGGACAACGUGUUAGAUGAUAAGUUAGAUGUGACACUGUGCUAUGAUAGCUAGGUGAUAGUUAGAUGAUGGGACAACGUGUUAGAUGAUAAGUUAGAUGUGACACUGUGCUAUGAUAGCUAGGUGAUAGUUAGAUGAUGGGACAACGUGUUAGAUGAUAGUUAGAUGUGACAUUGUGUUAUGAUAGCGAGGUGAUAGUUAGAUGAUGGGACAACGUGUUAGAUGAUAGUUAGAUGUGACACUGUGUUAUGAUAGCUAGGUGAUAGUUAGAUGAUGGGACAACGUGUUAGAUGAUAAGUUAGAUGUGACACUGUGUUAUGAUAGCUAGGUGAUAGUUAGAUGUGACAUUGUGUUAUGAUAGCUAGGUGAUAGUUAGAUGAUGGGACAACGUGUUAGAUGAUAAGUUAGAUGUGACACUGUGUUAUGAUAGCUAGGUGAUAGUUAGAUGAUGGGACAACGUGUUAGAUGAUAAGUUAGAUGUGACACUGUGUUAUGAUAGCUAGGUGAUAGUUAGAUGUGACAUUGUGUUAUGAUAGCUAGGUGAUAGUUAGAUGAUGGGACAACGUGUUAGAUGAUAGUUAGAUGUGACACUGUGUUAUGAUAGCUAGUUGAUAGUUAGAUGAUGGGACAACGUGUUAGAUGAUAAGUUAGAUGUGACAUUGUGUUAUGAUAGCUAGGUGAUAGUUAGAUGAUGGGACAACGUGUUAGAUGAUAGUUAGAUGUGACACUGUGUUAUGAUAGCUAGGUGAUAGUUAGAUGAUGGGACAACGUGUUAGAUGAUAAGUUAGAUGUGACACUGUGUUAUGAUAGCUAGGUGAUAGUUAGAUGUGACAUUGUGUUAUGAUAGCUAGGUGAUAGUUAGAUGAUGGGACAACGUGUUAGAUGAUAAGUUAGAUGUGACACUGUGUUAUGAUAGCUAGGUGAUAGUUAGAUGAUGGGACAACGUGUUAGAUGAUAAGUUAGAUGUGACACUGUGUUAUGAUAGCUAGGUGAUAGUUAGAUGUGACAUUGUGUUAUGAUAGCUAGGUGAUAGUUAGAUGAUGGGACAACGUGUUAGAUGAUAGUUAGAUGUGACAUUGUGUUAUGAUAGCUAGGUGAUAGUUAGAUGAUGGGACAACGUGUUAGAUGAUAGUUAGAUGUGACACUGUGUUAUGAUAGCUAGGUGAUAGUUAGAUGAUGGGACAACGUGUUAGAUGAUAAGUUAGAUGUGACACUGUGUUAUGAUAGCUAGGUGAUAGUUAGAUGUGACAUUGUGUUAUGAUAGCUAGGUGAUAGUUAGAUGAUGGGACAACGUGUUAGAUGAUAGUUAGAUGUGACAUUGUGUUAUGAUAGCUAGGUGAUAGUUAGAUGUGACAUUGUGUUAUGAUAGCUAGGUGAUAGUUAGAUGAUGGGACAACGUGUUAGAUGAUAGUUAAAUGUGACAUUGUGUUAUGAUAGCUAGGUGAUAGUUAGAUGAUGGGACAACGUGUUAGAUGAUAGUUAGAUGUGACAUUGUGUUAUGAUAGCUAGGUGAUAGUUAGAUGUGACAUUGUGUUAUGAUAGCUAGGUGAUAGUUAGAUGAUGGGACAACGUGUUAGAUGAUAGUUAGAUGUGACACUGUGUUAUGAUAGCUAGGUGAUAGUUAGAUGAUGGGACAACGUGUUAGAUGAUAAGUUAGAUGUGACACUGUGUUAUGAUAGCUAGGUGAUAGUUAGAUGAUGGGACAACGUGUUAGAUGAUAAGUUAGAUGUGACACUGUGUUAUGAUAGCUAGGUGAUAGUUAGAUGUGACAUUGUGUUAUGAUAGCUAGGUGAUAGUUAGAUGAUGGGACAACGUGUUAGAUGAUAGUUAGAUGUGACACUGUGUUAUGAUAGCUAGGUGAUAGUUAGAUGAUGGGACAACGUGUUAGAUGAUAGUUAGAUGUGACAUUGUGUUAUGAUAGCUAGGUGAUAGUUAGAUGAUGGGACAACGUGUUAGAUGAUAGUUAGAUGUGACACUGUGUUAUGAUAGCUAGGUGAUAGUUAGAUGAUGGGACAACGUGUUAGAUGAUAAGUUAGAUGUGACACUGUGUUAUGAUAGCUAGGUGAUAGUUAGAUGAUGGGACAACGUGUUAGAUGAUAGUUAGAUGUGACAUUGUGUUAUGAUAGCUAGGUGAUAGUUAGAUGAUGGGAC
This is a long non-coding RNA of Oncorhynchus keta (chum salmon), 2629 nucleotides long. RefSeq lists it as uncharacterized. The record is from RefSeq and is a predicted model, not a curated record. The transcript has 11 exons. NCBI's taxonomy places the organism in Eukaryota, Metazoa, Chordata, Actinopteri, Salmoniformes, Salmonidae.